UCACAUUUACGCAGUAGCCGACGACUUAAAGCUCAGAGUUUUCGUGAUUCUUCGUCAGUCACGGUUCCGCUGUCGAGGAACAACUAAGCAGGCUUCAAAUAACGUAGCUGUUAUAAUUUUCAAGUCCAAACAAAAGAAUUAACAUGAAGUUCCUAAUUGUUGCACUGUUGAUGGCCGUCGUGGUGGUUCAAGUACUCGCAGAUGACGAAUGGGAGCAAUACAAAAUAAAGUUUAACAAAAAAUACGCGAACCCGGAAGAAGAACAACGUAGAUACAAAAUUUACUUAGAUACCAAAAAAAAAGUAGAAGAACACAAUGUUAAGUACAACAAUGGAGAAGUGUCUUUCUCGCUUGGUAUCAACCAUUUCGCUGACAGGACCCCCGAAGAAUUGAAGAGCAUGCACGGGCUCAGACUUCCGGAGCAGAAGUCUAAAUCCGAACACAAGCAGAAAGCCGAAGCCUUCAUAAGGCCAGACUAAGAACAGCAAAACCAAACUCCAGAAAAUCGCUCAUUUUCAUACUUAUAUUCCAUCGAUUCCUCCAGUGCGUCGAUUAAUCUACUCUGGCGGGGAAACGGCUAGAGUAUAAUGAUGAAAAAUUACUAUCACCUCUACAAGAUGCAUCUUCGCCACUCGAAGAGCCAGAGUCUUUUUGUCCUCAACCUUCAACAUCAAAAACAUCGAUGCUUUCGGCAAUGAAAAGAAACAUUGAUAAAAAUUGUAUUAUUUAUACUAAAACUGCUCAGAAAGGUCAUAUCAAGAAGUCAAAUAAAAAAUACAAUGUAAAUAAAAGGAAGGAAAAUAAACAUACAAACGAGGAAAUACAAAAAGAGAACAACACAAAACAAGCGGAAAAGACUAAAAAAACAUAAGAAAUCGAAAAAAGGAAAAAACAAAAAGUUUCAAAAAAGUGAUUUGAAAUAUGAAUCUGAUAAGUAUGCUGAUCAAACAGAAAUGGAAGAUAUGACAACUUGGGUCAAAGAAACUGGAUCUCAAAAGGUUCUUCAAUGUUUAUGAUGUUUGUAGCAGAUGGAUUUUUCUAUCAACCUCUU
Molecule: RNA transcript, 1051 nt
Organism: Nasonia vitripennis (jewel wasp)
Lineage: Eukaryota; Metazoa; Arthropoda; Insecta; Hymenoptera; Pteromalidae
Gene name: crustapain
Exons: 7
Source: RefSeq, a predicted model, not a curated record